RNAcentral lists this ribosomal RNA (468 nucleotides) under uncultured bacterium. RNAcentral describes it as "partial 16S ribosomal RNA". It matches the Rfam family "Bacterial small subunit ribosomal RNA", at positions 28 to 507 of the family's 1533-position model. The record is from RNAcentral.
GACGAACGCUGGCGGCGUGCUUAACACAUGCAAGUCGAACGGAAAGGCCCUGCUUUUGUGGGGUGCUCGAGUGGCGAACGGGUGAGUAGCACGUGAGUAACCUGCCCUUGACUUUGGGAUAACUUCAGGAAACUGGGGCUAAUACCGGAUAGGAGCUCCUGCUGCAUGGUGGGGGUUGGAAAGUUUCGGCGGUUGGGGAUGGACUCGCGGCUUAUCAGCUUGUUGGUGGGGUAGUGGCUUACCAAGGCUUUGACGGGUAGCCGGCCUGAGAGGGUGACCGGCCACCUUGGGACUGAGAUACGGCCCAGACUCCUACGGGAGGCAGCAGUGGGGAAUAUUGCACAAUGGGCGGAAGCCUGAUGCAGCAACGCCGCGUGCGGGAUGACGGCCUUCGGGUUGUAAACCGCUUUCGCCUGUGACGAAGCGUGAGUGACGGUAAUGGGUAAAGAAGCACCGGCUAACUACGUG